UAUGAUAGCAUUGGAGAGGGAGCCCGAGA
Molecule: non-coding RNA, 29 nt
Filed under: Mus musculus (house mouse)
Lineage: Eukaryota; Metazoa; Chordata; Mammalia; Rodentia; Muridae
Source: RNAcentral